Molecule: ribosomal RNA, 429 nt
Filed under: Pseudomonadota bacterium
Lineage: Bacteria; Pseudomonadati; Pseudomonadota
Description: Proteobacteria bacterium partial 16S ribosomal RNA
Rfam family: Bacterial small subunit ribosomal RNA
Source: RNAcentral
UGGGGAAUAUUGGACAAUGGGCGAAAGCCUGAUCCAGCCAUGCCGCGUGUGUGAAGAAGGUCUUCGGAUUGUAAAGCACUUUAAGUUGGGAGGAAGGGCAGUAAGCGAAUACCUUGCUGUUUUGACGUUACCGACAGAAUAAGCACCGGCUAACUCUGUGCCAGCAGCCGCGGUAAUACAGAGGGUGCAAGCGUUAAUCGGAAUUACUGGGCGUAAAGCGCGCGUAGGUGGUUCGUUAAGUUGAAUGUGAAAGCCCCGGGCUCAACCUGGGAACUGCAUCCAAAACUGGCGAGCUAGAGUAGGGCAGAGGGUGGUGGAAUGUCCUGUGUAGCGGUGAAAUGCGUAGAUAUAGGAAGGAACACCAGUGGCGAAGGCGACCACCUGGGCUCAUACUGACACUGAGGUGCGAAAGCGGGGGGAGCAAACAGG